GAUCUCGUACGUGACCUGCGGAGGGUCAUUACACAAAUAUGAAGGCGGGCUGGAACCUCUCGGGGUUACAGCCUUGCUGAAUUAUUCACCCUUGUCUUUUGCGUACUUCUUGUUUCCUUGGUGGGUUCGCCCACCACUAGGACAAACAUAAACCUUUUGUAAUUGCAAUCAGCGUCAGUAACAAAUUAAUAAUUACAACUUUCAACAACGGAUCUCUUGGUUCUGGCAUCGAUGAAGAACGCAGCGAAAUGCGAUAAGUAGUGUGAAUUGCAGAAUUCAGUGAAUCAUCGAAUCUUUGAACGCACAUUGCGCCCUUUGGUAUUCCAAAGGGCAUGCCUGUUCGAGCGUCAUUUGUACCCUCAAGCUUUGCUUGGUGUUGGGCGUCUUGUCUCUAGCUUUGCUGGAGACUCGCCUUAAAGUAAUUGGCAGCCGGCCUACUGGUUUCGGAGCGCAGCACAAGUCGCACUCUCUAUCAGCAAAGGUCUAGCAUCCAUUAAGCCUUUUUUUCAACUUUUGACCUCGGAUCAGGUAGGGAUACCCGCUGAACUUAA
RNAcentral lists this ribosomal RNA (551 nucleotides) under Alternaria alternata. Its description in RNAcentral is "eukaryotic LSU rRNA". The stretch from base 197 to 350 matches the Rfam family "5.8S ribosomal RNA". Lineage: Eukaryota; Fungi; Ascomycota; Dothideomycetes; Pleosporales; Pleosporaceae. The record is from RNAcentral.